This 253-nucleotide ribosomal RNA is filed under the name uncultured bacterium. RNAcentral's name for it is "partial 16S ribosomal RNA". It matches the Rfam family "Bacterial small subunit ribosomal RNA", at positions 524 to 776 of the family's 1533-position model. The record is from RNAcentral.
UACGGGGGGGGCAAGCGUUGUUCGGAAUUACUGGGCGUAAAGGGUUCGUAGGUGGCCCGCUAAGUCAGACGUGAAAUCCCUCAGCUCAACUGGGGAACUGCGUCUGAGACUGGCGGGCUUGAGUGCAGGAGAGGAACGCGGAAUUCCAGGUGUAGCGGUGAAAUGCGUAGAUAUCUGGAGGAACACCGGUGGCGAAGGCGGCGUUCUGGACUGUUACUGACACUGAGGAACGAAAGCUAGGGGAGCGAAUGGG